UCUACAAAUUCUUUGGUUUGAUAUGAAGGAAAGAUAUGAUCAUCAGAAAACAGUGAUUUUGUUUAAAGCUCGUUAUAUAUGAUUGGAUUCAUAUGAGAAUUCAAGUAUGUAAGCGAGUAUAACUCAGUCUUGUUUAAAUUAUUUUCAUAUUGAAAUUAUGUGGAGAGAAAAUCAUAUGCAAAUAAGUUAGAAAAUCAUGGAUCCACAUAAUUCCAAUUUGAAAGUGAUGAGCUCUAUUCAGUUAUAGACUUGAAGUCUUGUAAUCUCUUAUGAAUCUAAUCAUAGCGAGCUUUAGGUAAUAUCACAGUUUUCUAUGAUCAUACCUUUACUUUAAAUCAUUCCAAAGUAUUUGUGGA
Molecule: non-coding RNA, 356 nt
Organism: Arabidopsis thaliana (thale cress)
Lineage: Eukaryota; Viridiplantae; Streptophyta; Magnoliopsida; Brassicales; Brassicaceae
Source: RefSeq